RNAcentral lists this ribosomal RNA (414 nucleotides) under uncultured bacterium. RNAcentral describes it as "bacterial SSU rRNA". It matches the Rfam family "Bacterial small subunit ribosomal RNA", at positions 917 to 1333 of the family's 1533-position model. The record is from RNAcentral.
GGGCCCGCACAAGCGGUGGAGCAUGUGGUUUAAUUCGAUGAUACGCGAGGAACCUUACCAGGGCUUAAAUGUAAGUUGCAUAAGCUAGAGAUAGCUUUUUCUUCGGACUACUUACAAGGUGCUGCAUGGUUGUCGUCAGCUCGUGCCGUGAGGUGUCAGGUUAAGUCCUAUAACGAGCGCAACCCCUGUUGUUAGUUGCCAUCGAGUAAUGUCGGGAACUCUAACAAGACUGCCGGUGCAAACCGUGAGGAAGGUGGGGAUGACGUCAAAUCAUCACGGCCCUUACGUCCUGGGCUACACACGUACUACAAUGCUACGGACAAAGGGCAGCAAGUUCGCGAGGACAAGCAAAUCCCAUAAACCGUGGCUCAGUUCAGAUCGUAGGCUGCAACUCGCCUACGUGAAGGCGGAAUC